Molecule: ribosomal RNA, 305 nt
Filed under: uncultured bacterium
Lineage: Bacteria
Description: bacterial SSU rRNA
Rfam family: Bacterial small subunit ribosomal RNA
Source: RNAcentral
UCCUACGGGGCGCAGCAGUCGGGAAUAUUGCGCAAUGGAGGAAACUCUGACGCAGUGACGCCGCGUAUAGGAAGAAGGUUUUCGGAUUGUAAACUAUUGUCGUUAGGGAAGAAAUUGACAGUACCUAAGGAGGAAGCUCCGGCUAACUAUGUGCCAGCAGCCGCGGUAAUACAUAGGGAGCAAGCGUUAUCCGGAAUUAUUGGGUGUAAAGGGUGCGUAGACGGGAGAUUAAGUUAGUUGUGAAAUCCCUUGGCUUAACUGAGGAACUGCAACUAAAACUGGUUUUCUUGAGUAUUGGAGAGGAA